Long non-coding RNA from Brassica napus (rape), 4740 nucleotides. RefSeq lists it as uncharacterized. Lineage: Eukaryota; Viridiplantae; Streptophyta; Magnoliopsida; Brassicales; Brassicaceae. The record is from RefSeq and is a predicted model, not a curated record. The transcript has 2 exons.
UAUGUUGUGUUUUAUCUGAAAUAAUAUUUUUUAUUAUAAAAUCUAAAGUUUAAUGUUUGAUUUAUCUUUUUAAAACAUAAUUAAUAAUUUAUUAUGUUGGUCUUGAUUUAAUAGUUAUAAACAGAUAACACGAUGGCCGCAUGCGGGCAGAACACCUAGUAUAGUUAUAUAAAAGAGUGUAGUAACAGAUGUCUUAGUUGGAGGAAAUCACGUGAUUGGUUUGAACUGUCAUGGCUGUGGUUUUUACAAGAAGUUUUUGUUAAAACUGUUAAAGCUUUGUGUAAUAAUGAAAAGGGUUUUAAGAAAAAACUAACGUAACAAAUGAAAAUAACAAAAAGUGGGAUGUGAGAAAUUUUAGGAGAACUUUGAGGAUUUUUAAACUUUAAAAAUCUGAUUGAAAAAAUAAAUUUUGGAGAUUUUAUAAAAAAGUAAAAGGCUCUGAAGUCUAACCCAAUCAUACUCAUUGUUUUGCGGAUAUCACUUGGUUUCCCUAAUCUUAUCGGUAGAGACGAUGUGUUAAUAGCUAUUUGAAAUGUUUUGGUGGUACAUAUAUUACUAGAUAGUAAUAUGCGCAGUGUGCGUGAAGUGAAUUAGUUUAUUAGAUUAUUUAUUGUAUGUUGUGCUAAGAGAUUUGUCGUAUAGUUUUUUUUAAGGAUGAAUAUUCAUAUAUCCGUUCGAAUUCAGUUGAUCUAUUAGGAUUUUUGAUUUUUAGAGUUAGAAAUUUAAAUCUUAUUCGAAUAUUUACAAAUUUUGGUUUGUACGUGGUUCAAAUAUUGUGGGUUCAGUUCGGAUUCGAGUUUGGAUACAUUAAUUACACAUUUUUUUAACAAAAAUUCAAAUAUACUUACGUCUUCAAAAUCCGAAAAUAAAAUAGGGAUGACUUAAAGUGGAAUGACUUAAUUUCUAAAUCAAAUUAAUUUCAUGGUACCAUAAACAAAUUUAAAUAGGGAUGACUUAAAGUGGAAUAUGCCAUUGUAUAUAAAUCCAAGCGUGCAGAAACUUUAUUAUAAUAUAAGAUUUGCGUCAUUAUAAAAUAAUUUAUCUAUAUUAUUAAAAUACAAACAUUAUUCAAUAUCAAUACAAUUAAAACAGCAUCCCUUUUUUUGACAUCCCCUUAGACUUUAUAAGUAUUUACAGUAGACUUAAAUAGGGAUGACUUAAAGUGGAAUAUGCCAUUGUAUAUAAAUCCAAGCGUGCAGAAACUUUAUUAUAAUAUAAGAUUUGCGUCAUUAUAAAAUAAUUUAUCUAUAUUAUUAAAAUACAAACAUUAUUCAAUAUCAAUACAAUUAAAACAGCAUCCCUUUUUUUGACAUCCCCUUAGACUUUAUAAGUAUUUACAGUAGACUGCCACUGCAUAUUUAUUAUUAAUGAUUUUAAUUUAUGUUGCACGAUUCAUGGGAUUCAUGGGCCACAAUAACAACCAAGGUGAUCAAAAUUGACAGCUGGGAUCAGUACAGUAGACUACCACUGCAUAUUUUUUAUUAAUGAUAAUAAAGAUAUUAAUUUAUGUUACACGAUUCAUGGGAUUCAUGGGCCACAAUAACAACCAAGUUUAUAUUCUGAAAGUAUAUUCUCCGAACAAAAGUUCAACAUAUUUGCGGAAUAAUAUGAUAAUAUAUUUCGUAUUAUAACAAACCCUAAUUCCCAAGGCGUGGUGUUUCCACUCCUUUCAUAUAUAAACUAAUACUGGCCAUAACCAACCUUACACCUUGCUAAACAACAAACCUUAUGAAAAUGAACGCUACACCAAAGCUCUCUUACCUGUCCGAUAUCAGGCCGUACAAGCCUGAAUGGUGGGUCCAAGUCAAGGUCCUUCAUACCUGGAAACAACACAGUGAAUACGGUGAAACCAUGGAAAUCAUUUUUGCUGACAAGAAGGUAAAUACAGUAGACUGCCACUGCAUAUUUAUUAUUAAUGAUUUUAAUUUAUGUUGCACGAUUCAUGGGAUUCAUGGGCCACAAUAACAACCAAGGUGAUCAAAAUUGACAGCUGGGAUCAGUACAGUAGACUACCACUGCAUAUUUUUUAUUAAUGAUAAUAAAGAUAUUAAUUUAUGUUACACGAUUCAUGGGAUUCAUGGGCCACAAUAACAACCAAGUUUAUAUUCUGAAAGUAUAUUCUCCGAACAAAAGUUCAACAUAUUUGCGGAAUAAUAUGAUAAUAUAUUUCGUAUUAUAACAAACCCUAAUUCCCAAGGCGUGGUGUUUCCACUCCUUUCAUAUAUAAACUAAUACUGGCCAUAACCAACCUUACACCUUGCUAAACAACAAACCUUAUGAAAAUGAACGCUACACCAAAGCUCUCUUACCUGUCCGAUAUCAGGCCGUACAAGCCUGAAUGGUGGGUCCAAGUCAAGGUCCUUCAUACCUGGAAACAACACAGUGAAUACGGUGAAACCAUGGAAAUCAUUUUUGCUGACAAGAAGGUAAAUGAUUUUGAUCUUUUUUUGAUAGAAGAAUAUAUAAUAUUCCAGUUUGUUAACAAAUUAUGAUAAAACAGUUUUACUUAAUAAAACUCUGUUUUCCUUAUUUUAGGGAAACAAAAUUCAAGCAUCUUGCAAAAAAAACUACUUGCUUAGUUUGGGUGCCGAAUGUCGUGUGGGUGAAUGGAAAAACCUAGAAAAUUUUGUGAUUACUCCAGCAGGAGGUGGAUACCGACCUACCAAUCAUCCUUAUAAGCUGUCGUUCAUGAAGUUCACCUCAAUUGAACCAUAUGAAUACAAUAAUAUCGAUAUGUUUCUGGAUUUAGUGGAGUUUAGAACUAUAUUGAGUGGACAGCUAGACAACAAUUUCUUGAUUGGUAUAUUUUAAAAACGUUUUUUUAUUGUAGUAUGUUUAGUUAUUGUUUAUUAAUAUAUUGUUUGUUUUGUUUUAUCUAGAUGUUGUGGGGCAAGCCAUAGAUAUUGGAGAAAAGUUAAGUCUCCAAUGUAGUAAUGGGAAAGAAAAAAAGAAGAUUGAAUUCACUCUCAGAGACAUAAAUGAUGAACGCAUACCAUGUUGUCUUUGGGGGAACUUUGCUGAUACUUUGGAAUCAUAUAUAGAAGAAGCACAAUUGGGAGUGGUUGUAUGUUUGAUCAGAUUUGCAAAAAUUGGAUCAUUUAGAAGUAAAUAUCCUUUACUACUCUUAAAUAAAUUAAGUUAAUCUUUUUAUCUUAUUAUUAAAUAAUGAUAUAUAUAUAUAUAUAUAUUUGCUUUAGGUAAACUCCAAAUUUCAAAUGCUUUUGAUACCUCUCAAUUAUUGAUCAAUCCACCAAUAGAGGAGAGUGCUGCAUUGAAAGAAAUGUUAGUUAUUUUGAUACUCUUUAACGUUUUUACGUAGCUCUUUUAGAGUCUAUGACUAACCAUUUUAAAAUAAUAUUUUACUUAAAAAUGACAUGGCCAGGUUUAAGUGUGAUACAGCAAACAUGUCAAUUGUUGAAUCAAACGAUCCUAACAAUCAGAUGGUUCGUCACGAGACUAAGGUGAUCAAAAUUGACAGCUGGGAUCAGUAUGAUGAUAAAACCGUGGCUGAAUUAUUGACUUCUACACAGGUUUAUUUUUGUGCUCUGAUUUUAAUUAUUUUAAGUUUUCAUAACUAAUUUUUUGGUUUUUUUAUCUAUAUAUUCUUCUCAGAUUGGGAAAUGCAAGGUUGUGUGUACAAUCUAUGCUGUAGAUACCGAUUUCGGUUGGUAUUACUUUGGAUGUGACAUAUGCAACACUAAAACUUAUAAAGUUAAUCAAAGAUACAUCACAUCUGGGAAGGAAUUAGCAUCCCCUCUGUUUUGGUGUGAAAAAUGCAAUGACAAUGUUACUAAUGUGUCUCCUAAGUAUGUGAAUAUAUUUCUUUGCGUCAUUAAUCUUUGUUAAUCCUGUCCUUUGUAUACUCGGUCUAUAACUGUUUUGAUUUUUCAGAUUUAAGGUUCACUUGCUGUUAAAGGACGAUACAGGAACCACCAAAUUCAUGCUUCUUGAUUCCAUUGCAAAUGGAAUUAUAGCAGAAAGUGCUGAAAAAAUCCUAAAAGGAUCAUUGAUCGAGGUAAAUUCGAACUCAUAAUUGUGUUGUAUAUUUAUGCUUUUUUCAUAUUUGACAGCACUAAUUUCGUGAUUGUUUCUCUAGAUUGAAUAUCCAGAGCUGUUGCCCCAGUCACUUAGAGAUGUUAUCGGAAAGACAUAUAAGUUUGGUGUUAUCAUUGAAAAGAACAAUGUUGCUUAUGGAUCUAAGAGUUACAGAGUUGCAAAGGUUUGGUCUAUCAGCAAUAUGCUAAUGGUUGAUUCACAGUCAGAGACUAAGUCUGCGCUUGAUACCACCCUCCCUGUGGAUGAGGUAUUUUAUUUUCUUUAUUAAAUUAGUAACCUAUAUGAUUGAUUGCUUAUCAAUUCUAUAAAUAACUAUACUUAUUAUUUUUCUUAGAUAUCUCUCCUGACUGACGGUGAGGAAAGUUCUGUGACUUUAAAAACACCAACUUCUAAGCGAUCCCAAGCUAUGAAAGAUGAUGUUCCUGAACUCACCUCGACAUCGAAAAGGCAAUGCGCAAAAAAUAUCAAGAUCGAGAAAUAAUCAGUUGAGGAGAUGAAGAUCAAGAAUUUAGUUCAAUUUCCUUUGUGGUUUUUUUAGUUUAGAAAAAUAAGUGUGAUCUUUUGAAUCAACACCUUAUAAAUGUUGCUUUGUUUAUUUUUUUCAUCAUUUUAGAAAUAAUUGUGAUCUUUUGAAUCAUAAACUUUUAAUUUGUUCUCUUUUUUAUAAAAAUAAAUUUUAUAUUA